AGCAGACGGACAGUGAGAGCCGGACUUUAUAAAUGGUUAAAGACUAGACCAGACAGCAUGGAGCGGUGGCUAAACAGCUGAAAAUGAACCAUCAACAUGAUCAAGCUUCUCAUACAUGUUGCAACUCUACCACUGUGGGUGACAGGGCUGUCACAAACAGACAAAGUCCAGCAGACUCCUACUGCAAUACUAAAUGGACCUGAAGAUAACGUUCAACUGAACUGCAGCCAUACUAUUCCAACCUACAACAGGAUACUGUGGUACCAGCAGUCAGCACAAAACACUGCUCUGAAACUCAUUGGGUAUGUGCAAUUCACCAGUCCAACCGUGGAAGAUUCCUUUAAAGAGCGUUUUACUGUGAGUGGAGAUGCUGCAACUGGGAAAAUGGCAUAUCUACAUAUUCCUAAACUGAGAGGAACUGAAGACAGUGCAGUGUAUUUCUGUGCUGCUACUUAUGCACAG
This 462-nucleotide long non-coding RNA is filed under the name Salmo salar (Atlantic salmon). Its description in RNAcentral is "lncRNA (ENSSSAG00000117431.1)". Lineage: Eukaryota; Metazoa; Chordata; Actinopteri; Salmoniformes; Salmonidae. The record is from RNAcentral.